Molecule: long non-coding RNA, 482 nt
Organism: Mizuhopecten yessoensis (Yesso scallop)
Lineage: Eukaryota; Metazoa; Mollusca; Bivalvia; Pectinida; Pectinidae
Exons: 3
Source: RefSeq, a predicted model, not a curated record
GAAUAUCUGGUUCAACCAGGACGGAGUCAAUCAUCUCUUUCCUGACGAAUGAGAGGACUAUUAAGACCCCAUACCUGAGCUAUUACUGUGUACAUGGAGGAUGGCUCAAAACAGAUGCUUAACUUUUGGAAGGUGUGGAGAAAAUUCGACAUAUUCCCGCAACCAUUGUUCAAGGGCGCUAUAAUGUAGUUUGUCCUUUGGAAACGGCCUGGUUACUUCAUAAGAUAUGGCCUGAUGCUGACUUCCAUGUGGUACCUGACGCGGGGCAUUCUUCAAAAGACCCUGGCAUACUUCACUAUCUGAUUGAGGCCACAGACAAGUAUAAAAAUAUCUAAUCAGGGAUUGAUAAAAAGUACAAAUACAUAUAUGUAUUUUUGCUCGGUACAUACAUUACAUAUUCACUCAAACACAUCCUUAUUUACAGAUAUAUAUUUCUUUUUUAGAUACACACACAAGCAUGUAACUUUUUAUGAAUAAAGAUG